GAAAAACAACUGAAGGAUAUCCAAUAAAAAUCAAAUUUCUCCCCCAAAUCGGUUCAAGUUCCUGUAGGUUUGGAGUCCUCAGUGAGAACUUUCUUAAGAGAAUCUGAUCUGGUCUAUUCCUCGUCAUAAGGAAACCUUGCAACAAAUAACAAGCAUGCAUAAAACAUAUGGCAUUUUGCAUCCAUUUGUGCAUUUCAUUCAUUUAUCAAGCAUGCACACGUUUGAAACAUACGUUCCCCUACCUGAGGUCUAAUGGACUGAUGAAGAUGGAAAAUCAAGACAGGGGUUAGCUAGAGGCUCGUUAUCAAAAGGAAGUUGAGAGCAGUAAAGGUGAAGUAGCUCAACUCAUAAAUUUGUUUGAAUAAGUGUUGAGCUUCAAGAAUGGAAAGGGAACGUCUGCACAGUCUCUUGCGUGGAACACUACUUGUCCACGUUCCAUUGAAGUUGCACCUCUCCUUUUUCAUCAUGAACAAUGACAGCAAUGUCUUCAGUCAUCAAUUAAUGACGACAACCCUUGUUCUCGUUCAACUGUACUGAUAGUCAUUCAAAGCCUUCACAUAUUCCAAGAGCACAUAAUAGCUGCUAGCUUUCUGUUCCUG
Molecule: long non-coding RNA, 599 nt
Filed under: Populus trichocarpa (black cottonwood)
Lineage: Eukaryota; Viridiplantae; Streptophyta; Magnoliopsida; Malpighiales; Salicaceae
Description: long non-coding RNA (PTRI_LNC000933)
Source: RNAcentral